Molecule: ribosomal RNA, 495 nt
Filed under: uncultured bacterium
Lineage: Bacteria
Description: partial 16S ribosomal RNA
Rfam family: Bacterial small subunit ribosomal RNA
Source: RNAcentral
GACGAACGCUGGCGGCGUGCCUAAUACAUGCAAGUAGAACGCUGAAGGAGGAGCUUGCUUCUCUGGAUGAGUUGCGAACGGGUGAGUAACGCGUAGGUAACCUGCCUGGUAGCGGGGGAUAACUAUUGGAAACGAUAGCUAAUACCGCAUAAUAGUAGAUGUUGCAUGACAUUUACUUAAAAGGUGCAAUUGCAUCACUACCAGAUGGACCUGCGUUGUAUUAGCUAGUUGGUGGGGUAACGGCUCACCAAGGCGACGAUACAUAGCCGACCUGAGAGGGUGAUCGGCCACACUGGGACUGAGACACGGCCCAGACUCCUACGGGAGGCAGCAGUGGGGAAUCUUCGGCAAUGGACGAAAGUCUGACCGAGCAACGCCGCGUGAGUGAAGAAGGUUUUCGGAUCGUAAAGCUCUGUUGUAAGAGAAGAACGAGUGUGAGAGUGGAAAGUUCACACUGUGACGGUAUCUUACCAGAAAGGGACGGCUAACUACGUG